CAGCAUAUACCGCAUCAAACGACGUCGUUCGGAAGCCUUUUCCUCCGGUUUCUUCGGGUCUUCGAACACAAGGCAAUCGGCAGAUAAGAGGUAGGAACACAGGGAGGGAACGGAGAGUCCGCUGGGGAGGAAUAAACAAAAGACAAGCAGAAGGAAGGGAGCUAAAGGCAGUCUUCGGGGAGGCACCGAGACAGAAAUCCUGAAGGGAAGCUUCUGAGUUCACUAGCUGUCGAGGCUCCAGUUUUUUCUACCUAGGAAAGGUUGAUUUGGUGAUUGUCUAGGAAAGGUGACUGUUUCUUCUGAUCAGUUGGAUAUUAACUAACUGAGAACCAAGUUUGUGAAACGGGUUUUAGAAAGGCAUCUGAUAAAGGUACGGGGCAGUUCCUUAAAACAAAUAAGCGGAGGAGGAAUUGAAAAAGAAAGCGGGAAUAAUCUUGGUAAUGAAGUUAUAAGAUCAGCAUUUCCUACUCGUUUUCAUUUAACUAAAAUUCUUUGCUGGUGUUUGUAUCAAAUGUUUGACUGUGAAUUUUUGAGAUAUAUGCUUUAUCAGUUAGUCUCUUCCGAUGUAUGCAUCUUUGCCAUUGACAUUCCAAAAAUGACUUUCAAGAUUUUAUUUAUAGCCCUUUACCUUCCAUUUCACCGUCUGGUCUAGGCAUGUAAACAUUUAAAAGUCACAAAUAUAUAUUGAGACCCUCUUAGGCUAUGCACGUUCACAUUUCGCUGAACAAGUAGUGAACUUUUGACCUGCUGUAGUUCGAAGAUCCUGAACAUGUUUUUUAGAGGCUUGAAAUGUGUGCUAUUUGCCUUCACUUGUUGUUUGUGUGACUUGAAAUGGCAUGCACCAUGCAUUUUUCCUUUCAAAACUGAAUAAGGCUAUCCAGAUGCACAGACAUUUUUCUUUCUUGUUCUUUUGGUCUUUAUUACGCUAAUCAUGCAUUAAACUUAUCAAUUGAAGGGUUCCUAUUAUUUGUCUGAUCUGGAUAUUGGGUGGAUUAAAAUAUGGGAUUAGGCUGUAACUUUGAAAAGAAUGAUGGGCUGCACCUUUGCGGUUUGAGAUAUUCAGAGCAAUCUAUGUGUUUUCCCUAGAAUGAUUGAGUCCUGUCCAAAUCGUCCUUUCAUGAACAGUUCUAGUGUAAGUUAGUACCUUCUCUUUUCAAAGCAGGUUUUAUGGGAAACUCUUUUUUCCCCUUCUCUUGAAGGUUUAAAGGAAUAAUGGUGGUUUUUUGGGUUCCCUUUCUUAAACCAUGAUUCUAAUACACUCGAAGAAUAUUUCUGAACUUCAAUCCAAAGCUCUCCAUUUUUUCGAUUUACUUUCAUUUUCAUUUUUGCAGAUUGUUUGUCCAAAUGAAAAUUGGUUUUAAGUUUUUCCCUUUUUGAAAUUUCCUUUCUUUCAGUAACUCAUCUUUUUUCCUAUCAAUGACUUUUUAUCCUAGAAUAAUUUUAGAUUAAAUGGAAAUCGUUUAUCAUAUGUUGCAAUGAUGCAUAAUUAAUUCAUUUUUUGUUGUAAGUAUGAUCUUAAAUAUGCUUCGUUAUGGAGCCAUUCCAAAUUUCCCCUUAAUGUGUUUGCAUUGUUUCUCUUCUUUGCUUACUGUUUGGGCUGUUCGCCACUGUUUGCAUUAAAUUUCCAGCUUCCUUUGAUUUUUUUAUCGUAUUUCUGCUAGAUUAUGUUCUAUCCAAUGUUAGGAGGUUUUAUAUGACUAAAAAGUCCCUUUUGCUUAAUGUUCAGUAACAUUUUUACCAUUGAAAUCUGAGCUCUUUUGGCAGCUGGUUGGUGGCUGCCAAAUCAGCUUACAUGAGCACAUUUAAUGUUCAUAAAUAGAGGAAAAUUGUUUGCUAAUAGAGGUCAGCAGUUGCUUGGUAUGUAGGAGUUAGCCACAUUUUGGAGGUCAAAAAAGGAAAAGGAGAAGUGAGAAAACACGGGCUGUUUUGAGCUCCUAAACAUGUUUACUUGGUAAAUGUUUUGAACCCAAAUAAAGAAAAAUUUUGCUUUUCAUGUGGUCCUUAAUAGGUCGUAAAACCGUUCUUCUCAUACUGCUUUUGGUUUGGUUAUUGCUUUUGAUUUGGAUGAAUCUCUUGGUCUUUUCACAUUCCUGCAUUCAUUAAGAUAAGCAUAGCGAUAGGCUAGAUGAGAUUCAUUCUCCUUUCUCAUCAUCCUUACUCCCCUUAAUCAAUAAGUUUCAUUUUUUGUACUAAACAGUAAGUAGAAUAUUUUUUCAAUAUCUACAACUGACAUGGUUUCUCCUUUUUCCAUUUACUUUGUAACACAAUUUAGACUCCUUACUUUCUUAUAGAGUUGAUCCAUUACUCUUCUCAUUGUCGGAUAUAAGAAUCUUGGACAUGUAUGUAAUUUGUAACUUGAAAUUCAUUUCUCGUAGAUAGGUUAAAUUAUGCAUGUUCUACAUUUUGGAAAAUUCUCUUUAUUACUCCAUGACUAGGUGGAUGUAGGUUAAAUUGUUUUUCUAUGGUUAAUUCCUUUCCUUGCUUCGAGUUGGGUUGUGUAUGCCUUCUUUUCCCCCCCUUUUUGUCAACUAACUUUUAGAUCAGAAAUCUUGGUUACUUACAAAUUUCAUUUACUUUUGAAUAGGAUCUAUCGAACUUCAACCAUGUAUUUUGAUGUAAAAAAAAAUUUGCAGUCUAGUUAGCUCGCUUACACCACAAAAUGGGUGUCUAACACAUUCUCACAUUAUGAAAA
Non-coding RNA from Carica papaya (papaya), 2692 nucleotides. The record is from RefSeq and is a predicted model, not a curated record. Lineage: Eukaryota; Viridiplantae; Streptophyta; Magnoliopsida; Brassicales; Caricaceae.